Molecule: ribosomal RNA, 253 nt
Filed under: uncultured bacterium
Lineage: Bacteria
Description: partial 16S ribosomal RNA
Rfam family: Bacterial small subunit ribosomal RNA
Source: RNAcentral
UACGUAGGGUGCGAGCGUUAAUCGGAAUUACUGGGCGUAAAGCGUGCGCAGGCGGUUAUGCAAGCCAGAUGUGAAAUCCCCGGGCUCAACCUGGGACCUGCAUUUGUGACUGCAUAGCUAGAGCACGGUAGAGGGGGAUGGAAUUCCGCGUGUAGCAGUGAAAUGCGUAGAUAUGCGGAGGAACACCGAUGGCGAAGGCAGUCCCCUGGACCUGUACUGACGCUCAUGCACGAAAGCGUGGGGAGCAAACAGG